Molecule: long non-coding RNA, 333 nt
Organism: Centropristis striata (black sea bass)
Lineage: Eukaryota; Metazoa; Chordata; Actinopteri; Perciformes; Serranidae
Exons: 2
Source: RefSeq, a predicted model, not a curated record
AAUGUGAUUGUAUGCAGCCAGGCGGCAUCACUUAAAGCCAUAAGAGCAUCUUUGGGCAUGCAGAAGUUUUCACGCCACGUAUUUUCAUCAGCUACUCCUUCCACAAAGUUCUCCUCCAUCACUAGAUCUCCCAGGUCUCGUUCACAGCCGUCUGGCUCCUCCCACCAAUCGCUGCAUCCAGAAUGUGAUGGAGGUAAUUCCAGAUCCUUCUCUGUUCACUAAUACUAUCUGUACAUAUCCUGGACAUUUGGUGGAAAGACUCCUGUAAGUUUAUUAGAGCUGCCAGAGCAGCUUGAAGGUCCCACCAUGGAAAUAAUCCCACGUUUCUUUAUU